This 229-nucleotide ribosomal RNA is filed under the name uncultured bacterium. RNAcentral's name for it is "partial 16S ribosomal RNA". It matches the Rfam family "Bacterial small subunit ribosomal RNA", at positions 568 to 796 of the family's 1533-position model. The record is from RNAcentral.
UGCGUAGGCGGAUCAAUAAGUCAGUGGUGAAAUCUCUCGGCUCAACCGGGAAACUGCCAUUGAUACUGUUGAUCUUGAGUUCGGUUGAGGUAGGCGGAAUGUGUAAUGUAGCGGUGAGAUGCUUAGAUAUUACACAGAACACCAAUUGCGUAGGCAGCUUACUAGACCGACACUGACGCUGAGGCACGAAAGCGUGGGGAGCGAACAGGAUUAGAUACCCUGGUAGUCC